Anolis carolinensis (green anole) is the source of this 194-nucleotide small nuclear RNA. Its record names the gene U2. It matches the Rfam family "U2 spliceosomal RNA". Rfam says of the family: U2 is a small nuclear RNA (snRNA) component of the spliceosome (involved in pre-mRNA splicing). The record is from Ensembl. Lineage: Eukaryota; Metazoa; Chordata; Lepidosauria; Squamata; Anolidae.
AUUGCUUCUCGGCCUUUUGGCUAAGAUCAAGUGUAGUAAUAUUACAUGUAAUAUGUAACAUAUAAUUAAUAUUAUUAUAUUGUAUUAUUAUUAGUAUUAUAUUGUAUUACAUUAUAACACUAUGAUCCAUAUUAUAUAUAUAGACCAGGGGUCCUCAAACUUUUAAAGUGGAGGGCCGGUUCAUGGUCCCUCAG